GGGCAGUAGCUUAGUGGUAGAGCACUUGCUUUGCCUGUAGAGAGUCCCAGGUUACAUCCCUGGCAUUUUCA
This is a non-coding RNA of Podarcis lilfordi (Lilford's wall lizard), 71 nucleotides long. The record is from the annotation of a GenBank genome assembly. Lineage: Eukaryota; Metazoa; Chordata; Lepidosauria; Squamata; Lacertidae.